AGCAGAGUUGCCUGGAGCCUGUCCUUUAGGAAUUUUAGCACAGUAUGGGGGUUUCCUUACCUACCACACUCACACUUAGGUGGUGUGAUUCUGGGCAAGUGGCUUCUCUCCCAGCUUUGUGAUUCUAGCACCAAGAUGAAGACCCAUCCUGUCAGGUUGUGUGUGGGUAAGGUGACCACCACAGCCUGCCCUGAGCUGGCCUUCCACACUGAGUUACCAGUGACACCUGGGAUCCAACUUGGAGCUCCCCCCAAGAACUUCACACGCGAUCUGCAUCAGGGCUCCACCCUCAGCCCAUCUAGCUCACUUGACCGAGAGCAUAGGUGACUAGAGGCAACUAAGGGGCCUGGAGAGAUGGAGGCUCAGCAGUUAAGAGCACUGACUACAGCACCACUCCUGCCUCAGGACCUUUGCAUGAUCCCUUCGCCAGCAUCACUUCAGACAUCUCCACAGCUGACCCUCUGCUCCUCAGGGACUUGUCAUCUCACUGCUCCCUUCCAUGUCUCCGGGUGUCUUCCAAGCAGAGGCUCUGUAAGCCCACACAGCAUGUUGGGAAGGUCAGACCGACUUCCCUCUUCACAGAGGACACUGGGCCCAGCUGGCCAACCCAAUCAUUUGUCCAGCAGAUGAGGGAUUCGAGCUCCUGCUGACUCCAAAGUGUGGAGGUGCUGGGAAUAGAGGCGCAAAGAUUUCUGAACUCACAAGACCCCGAACAGAACCCCU
Molecule: long non-coding RNA, 723 nt
Organism: Mus musculus (house mouse)
Lineage: Eukaryota; Metazoa; Chordata; Mammalia; Rodentia; Muridae
Product: predicted gene, 30717
Exons: 5
Source: RefSeq, a predicted model, not a curated record